GCUCAGUCACCUUUCCCGGUUGCCUUGAUCCAAGGCCCGAUACGGGAUAUCCAGGAAGAGUCGACGGUCACAGAGAAGGCCGUGCCAAUGGGCAGAGGUCUGGGAGGUCUCAUUCUGUGCCUGCGAACAUGGCGGCGCCCGUUGUCACGGCCCCAGGCAGAGCUCUGCUGCGGGCGGGCGCUGGGCGGCUGCUGCGGGGAGGCGUCCAGGAGCUACUGCGGCCG
RNAcentral lists this non-coding RNA (224 nucleotides) under Pongo abelii (Sumatran orangutan). Lineage: Eukaryota; Metazoa; Chordata; Mammalia; Primates; Hominidae. The record is from RNAcentral.